AGUGAACGCUGGCGGUAGGCCUAACACAUGCAAGUCGAACGGCAGCACAGUAAGAGCUUGCCCUUACGGGUGGCGAGUGGCGGACGGGUGAGGAAUACAUCGGAAUCUACUUUUUCGUGGGGGAUAACGUAGGGACACUUACGCUAAUACCGCAUAUGACCUACGGGUGAAAGCAGGGGAUCUUCGGACCUUGCGCGAUUGAAUGAGCCGAUGUCGGAUUAGCUAGUUGGCGGGGUAAAGGCCCACCAAGGCGACGAUCCGUAGCUGGUCUGAGAGGAUGAUCAGCCACACUGGAACUGAGACACGGUCCAGACUCCUACGGGAGGCAGCAGUAGGGAAUCUUGGGCAAUGGGCGCAAGCCUGAUGCAGCCAUGCCGCGUGAGUGAAGAAGGCCUUCGGAUUGUAAAACCCUUUUGUUAGGAAAGAAAAGCAGCGGGUGAAUACACCGCUGUUCUGACGGUACCCAAAGAAAAAGCCCCGGCUAACUUCGUG
Molecule: ribosomal RNA, 492 nt
Filed under: uncultured bacterium
Lineage: Bacteria
Description: partial 16S ribosomal RNA
Rfam family: Bacterial small subunit ribosomal RNA
Source: RNAcentral